CGUCCCCCGCCAGCCCAGUGGCCGAGCAGAGACGACUCACCAGUGACAAGAGAACCCAGUUCCCGGACAUGGCUGUGGAGCAAUCGCCGAAGUGAAGGAGUCUUUCCAACCGGCACCAGGGCGAGUUACGCACCCGUUUCAGCUGGGGAGGACUGAAGUGCGGAGCGCACACGUCUUGCUCGGAGCAGGAGCCUCGGCUGACUGCUGGGAUUCUCAGAGCAGACCCAGCCUUGGCUCGGCUCCGUGUGCCGUGGUGUCGACGUUAGAGGCUCACAGGAACCCCGGACGAGUGUCUGUAAAUGGCAGUUCUCCAAGGCAGAGGUUCAGAUGUUGUGCUGUGGGGAUUCCGAAGAGGGAGGACCCUUUAUAUUUUAUUCUCAGGAGGAGUACAAAGCUAACUCCUAAGACAAAUCACACAGCUCCCGCUAUAUGAUUAAAAACUUACAAUUA
Cervus elaphus (red deer) is the source of this 450-nucleotide long non-coding RNA. RefSeq lists it as uncharacterized. The record is from RefSeq and is a predicted model, not a curated record. The transcript has 2 exons. Lineage: Eukaryota; Metazoa; Chordata; Mammalia; Artiodactyla; Cervidae.